AAAUAAAUAAACAGUAAAAAUAAACAGGAGGGAGAAGGCACUGGGAGCUAAUAAGCUCAGCCAUUGGCAGAGUCAUUUUGCACUGCAAACUUCAUUACAGUGAUUCCAGAGAUAGUACUUAAAAAUGAACUUUGGAUAAUGUUCCAAUUGAGAGUUUUCUGUACUCAAGAAAUGUACCACAACAGCACAGACUGGGGUUAGACAAGAAGGAGCAGAGGGGCACCAGAAGAAGCCUAGGAAACUUAGAGCAUUGCAAGAAAGAGAGGAAUCUAGACUGCCAAACAGCCUGUCCUCUUAGCUGUGCUUGUCAAAAGGUUUUUACCUCAGAAUCCCAGGGUAUAUCUUGGUUAUAAACAACUAGUAUAUGUCUAAGUUAACAGCUUAGUAACCUGAGUACAGUUAUGUAGCAGAAGUUUUAAUCAUUUUCCACAUUUUCUUUUUUUGUCGUCUUAAGGAUUUCUGGACUGGGUGAAUCUUAUCUGCAUUUGGCAAUCAUGAUUCUGAGACUGUGAGUGGCUAACGUCAAGGAAGCAGCCUCCUUUACAGAACAACCCUUCUGUUUAUUUCUGUCUGGCAGGAUGCAAUCUCUCUUUACUGCCGCUAUUCCUGUAUAUACCUUCUAGUUUCAUUUUUUGCUGACCCUUGAGAACUGGCUCUUAACCCCUACUCCAUGCCAACAGAAUUAUUAGGAAAUCAUCGAGAACUGUCCUUCACUUUGUGACAGCAGGAGACUCUAAGUACAAAAUAGCAGGUCACUCUGACUAUGACCAAUCGGACAGAUAACCACGCUGCUUUCUUUUUCACAGGAAAUUGUGUAACUCUGGAAUUUUAGAGGUGAGUGUGUAAAGAACAACCCUUUUUAAAGGAAUAACUUAAUUCACUACUUUGACUACAUAGAAAUUUAAUGCAUGACUUUCUUGAAACGCUCUUCUCUCAUAACACCCCUGGCCCAUUUUCUCCUGUUUUGACACCAUGUGAGGGUUAUAUACACUGCAUAGCUCUCAACACUCUGAUUUGUGUCCUGGUCUUAAUUUACAAAAGGUGACUGCGUGACAAUUCUGAGAGGCCAAUGCCAAUGAGAGAAAAGUUUACUGCUACUCAUGAUGGCGCCCCUGGAAGCAGAAGACACAGCACGCUAUAGAGGGCCAUGUGGGAAAGCACUGGAGUAGCUCCAGGCCGGGCUUGCCAGUCUCUCUGCACUCUGGAAGGAGUUUGCCUGGGUUGGGGUUGUCCCUUGGUAGAUUCCAAACCUUCAUUUUGUCAAUUUACUUAAAGGUGACUGGGUUUAAAGGGGCUGACUGAUUGUAAAUAACUUGGAGAAUAAAUCAAUAUUCAUUAAUAAAGUUAAAUAAUUCACGUAAAAUUAAAGUAUAA
RNAcentral lists this long non-coding RNA (1374 nucleotides) under Homo sapiens (human). RNAcentral's name for it is "non-protein coding lnc-HPS3-2:4". Lineage: Eukaryota; Metazoa; Chordata; Mammalia; Primates; Hominidae. The record is from RNAcentral.